AGAUGGCUUUUGGUACACCACAGAGAGGCUAUUAAAUUCAUCAAAAAUGCGAUCUUUUAUUUCACUGCUAUGCGUAUCAGCAAAGACAGAAACAGGUUGCUUUGGAGGAUUCACAACACGUUCUGCAAUUGACACAUUGUAUUGCAAUAGCCUGUAGUAGAACAAGGCUCUAUCAUGAACAUCCUGGUGGAAAUCAGCAAGGCCUGCAGCUAGUGCAGCUCCUAAUGCUUUCUGAGUCUCAGGUGGUCUCUUAAAAAAACAUUUCAUUACUGCUGUGAGGAGAUGCAAACGAACCUCAGCAGAAUGCUCAUCAUCCCAAUUCUCAGUUAAACCCUCUAGAAUAUAAGGAGCAUCAUUCAUGUCCUGAGAAUAUUCCCCUAACAUCCAUAUAAGAGCUGCUUUGGCCUUGGGUUCUUGAACAUUUUUGCUGCUGAUAUUCCCAACAACUGCGAUGCAAUCAUGACUCCAUUGAGGGUAUUUCCUCAGUAGAUCUUUAACAAGAACCAAAGCUUCAGCAGUCACAUAGUCCUUUUCCAUCUCCAAAAACUGAAGCAGCCUAUCAACAAUAGCAUUCACAUCAUACUGCUGCAGUGCUAUCUUUCCAACAGCCCGAAUUGACUCUCUUGCAAUCGGAAUAUCAACAUUUGCAGCAUAUUCACAUAAUUCUGUCACAAUUUCAUAAGUAUUGGUCUCAUUUGCAACUGCAGUCAACAUUUCAAGCUUCAAUUUUUUGA
This 734-nucleotide unclassified non-coding RNA is filed under the name Hevea brasiliensis (rubber tree). Lineage: Eukaryota; Viridiplantae; Streptophyta; Magnoliopsida; Malpighiales; Euphorbiaceae. The record is from RNAcentral.